Molecule: transfer RNA, 64 nt
Filed under: Agathobaculum desmolans ATCC 43058
Lineage: Bacteria; Bacillati; Bacillota; Clostridia; Eubacteriales; Butyricicoccaceae
Also listed under: 1 other name
Description: tRNA-OTHER
Source: RNAcentral
GGGCAUUUCUAUUGGUAGCUUGACGUGCGGAAGGUCGGCGGUUCGAACCCGUCAAUGUCCACCA